Molecule: ribosomal RNA, 533 nt
Filed under: Stanjemonium fuscescens
Lineage: Eukaryota; Fungi; Ascomycota; Sordariomycetes; Hypocreales; Bionectriaceae
Also listed under: 1 other name
Description: eukaryotic LSU rRNA
Rfam family: Eukaryotic large subunit ribosomal RNA
Source: RNAcentral
CAACAGGGAUUGCCCCAGUAACGGCGAGUGAAGCGGCAACAGCUCAAAUUUGAAAUCUGGCCUUGUGCCCGAGUUGUAAUUUGUAGAGGAUGCUUCUGGCGACGCGCCUUCCGAGUUCCCUGGAACGGGACGCCAUAGAGGGUGAGAGCCCCGUCCGGUCGUGCGCCUAGCCUCUGUGAAGCUCCUUCGACGAGUCGAGUAGUUUGGGAAUGCUGCUCUAAAUGGGAGGUAUACGUCUUCUAAAGCUAAAUACCGGCCAGAGACCGAUAGCGCACAAGUAGAGUGAUCGAAAGAUGAAAAGCACUUUGAAAAGAGGGUUAAAUAGUACGUGAAAUUGCUGAAAGGGAAGCGCUUAUGACCAGACUUGGGCGCGGCGGAUCAUCCGGCGUUCUCGCCGGUGCACUCCACCGCCCCAGGCCAGCAUCAGCUCGCGCCGGGGGACAAAGGCUUCGGGAAUGUGGCUCCCUCGGGAGUGUUAUAGCCCGUUGCGUAAUACCCUGGUGCGGGCUGAGGUCCGCGCUCUGCAAGGAUGC